UCUGUGCAGUCACAGCAUCUCAAGCUAUGAGACCAGCUUUACAAGCUAAGUUAGAGCAGCCUGAUCAGUACUGUACUUGAAUGGGAGACCACCCAGGAAAAGCUAGAUGCUGCAAGAA
This 118-nucleotide ribosomal RNA is filed under the name Gopherus agassizii (Agassiz's desert tortoise). The record is from RNAcentral. Lineage: Eukaryota; Metazoa; Chordata; Testudines; Testudinidae.